Molecule: ribosomal RNA, 493 nt
Filed under: uncultured bacterium
Lineage: Bacteria
Description: partial 16S ribosomal RNA
Rfam family: Bacterial small subunit ribosomal RNA
Source: RNAcentral
AAUGAACGCUGGCGGCAUGCCUUACACAUGCAAGUCGAACGGUAACAGGUUAAGCUGACGAGUGGCGAACGGGUGAGUAAUAUAUCGGAACGUGCCCAGUCGUGGGGGAUAACGUGGCGAAAGCUACGCUAAUACCGCAUACGAUCUACGGAUGAAAGCGGGGGAUAGCAAGACCUCGCGCGAUUGGAGCGGCCGAUAUCAGAUUAGGUUGUUGGUGAGGUAAAAGCUCACCAAGCCUGCGAUCCGUAGCUGGUCUGCGAGGACGACCAGCCGCAGUGGAACUGAGCCACGGUCCAGACUCCUACGGGAGGUAGCAGUGGGGAAGUGUGGACAAUGGACGCAAGUCUGAUCCAGCAGGGCCACGUGCAGGGCGAAGGCCUUCGGGUUGUAAUCUGCUUUUGUACGGAACGAAACGGUGAGCUUUAAUACAGUUUGCUAAUGACGGUACCGUAAGAAUAAGCACCGGCUAACUACGUGCCAGCCGCCGCCGUAA